This 373-nucleotide ribosomal RNA is filed under the name Lysinibacillus sp. Expt1_P4_C03. RNAcentral describes it as "bacterial SSU rRNA". It matches the Rfam family "Bacterial small subunit ribosomal RNA", at positions 1018 to 1392 of the family's 1533-position model. Lineage: Bacteria; Bacillati; Bacillota; Bacilli; Caryophanales; Bacillaceae. The record is from RNAcentral. RNAcentral also lists the same sequence under 2 other names.
UUCGGGGGCAACGGUGACAGGUGGUGCAUGGUUGUCGUCAGCUCGUGUCGUGAGAUGUUGGGUUAAGUCCCGCAACGAGCGCAACCCUUGAUCUUAGUUGCCAUCAUUUAGUUGGGCACUCUAAGGUGACUGCCGGUGACAAACCGGAGGAAGGUGGGGAUGACGUCAAAUCAUCAUGCCCCUUAUGACCUGGGCUACACACGUGCUACAAUGGACGAUACAAACGGUUGCCAACUCGCGAGAGGGAGCUAAUCCGAUAAAGUCGUUCUCAGUUCGGAUUGUAGGCUGCAACUCGCCUACAUGAAGCCGGAAUCGCUAGUAAUCGCGGAUCAGCAUGCCGCGGUGAAUACGUUCCCGGGUCUUGUACACACCG